This 460-nucleotide ribosomal RNA is filed under the name uncultured bacterium. RNAcentral describes it as "partial 16S ribosomal RNA". It matches the Rfam family "Bacterial small subunit ribosomal RNA", at positions 338 to 795 of the family's 1533-position model. The record is from RNAcentral.
CCUACGGGUGGCAGCAGUGAGGAAUAUUGGUCAAUGGGCGAGAGCCUGAACCAGCCAAGUAGCGUGAAGGAUGACUGCCCUACGGGUUGUAAACUUCUUUUAUAAGGGAAUAAAGUGAGGCACGUGUGGCUUUUUGUAUGUACUUUAUGAAUAAGGAUCGGCUAACUCCGUGCCAGCAGCCGCGGUAAUACGGAGGAUCCGAGCGUUAUCCGGAUUUAUUGGGUUUAAAGGGAGCGUAGAUGGGUUGUUAAGUCAGUUGUGAAAGUUUGCGGCUCAACCGUAAAAUUGCAAUUGAAACUGGCAGACUUGAGUACAGAAGAGGUAAGUGGAACUCGUGGUGUAGCGGUGAAAUGCGUAGAUAUCACGAAGAACACCAGUGGCGAAGGCGGCUUACUGGACUGCAACUGACGUUGAGGUUCGAAAGUGUGGGUAGCAAACAGGAUUAGAUACCCUUGUAGUC